RNAcentral lists this ribosomal RNA (253 nucleotides) under uncultured bacterium. RNAcentral describes it as "partial 16S ribosomal RNA". It matches the Rfam family "Bacterial small subunit ribosomal RNA", at positions 524 to 776 of the family's 1533-position model. The record is from RNAcentral.
UACAGGGGGGGCAAGCGUUGUUCGGAAUUACUGGGCGUAAAGGGUUCGUAGGUGGCCACUUAAGUCAGACGUGAAAUCCCUCAGCUUAACUGGGGAACUGCGUCUGAUACUGAGUGGCUUGAGUGCAGGAGAGGAAUGCGGAAUUCCAGGUGUAGCGGUGAAAUGCGUAGAUAUCUGGAGGAAUACCGGUGGCGAAGGCGGCAUCCUGGACCGACAUUGACGCUGAUGAGCGAAAGCCAGGGGAGCAAACGGG